RNAcentral lists this long non-coding RNA (663 nucleotides) under Linum usitatissimum (flax). Its description in RNAcentral is "long non-coding RNA (LUSI_LNC004603)". Lineage: Eukaryota; Viridiplantae; Streptophyta; Magnoliopsida; Malpighiales; Linaceae. The record is from RNAcentral.
ACCACACACUUUGGCUUAUAUGCUUACUCGAGCAAUAUGCUUAUUAGCAACCCGACACUUGUACGUCCUCCAAACACUCUCGUUUAUUUAUUUUUAAUAAAUCACCAUACUCAUUUAUAAUUAAGUAUCCACAUAUAUAUAUAUAUAUAUGGAUUUGGUAGCUAAUUAACAACACUUGAUUGAUGCAUAUGACAUGUUGGCGAUAUCUUAGGAUCAAUUAAUAAUAACAAGGCCAAGAGCAUUCACACUGCUGGCCGGAAAGGCAAUUGCUGUAGCUGUAGUCUCCAUGCACUCUCCAACACGCCCAGACGCAUCCCGACCGAUCGCAUCCUCCUGUGUACACCACUUCAUGACACGUAUGCAUGCGUGCUGCAUCGGCUUCUUGAACUAGUACCGUUGCUGCUGCACAUAAACAUGUAUCAAUCAGAAACUCACCUAACAACUCAAAUUAGUGAGACGCAACGCCUCUUACCCCAUACUAGUAAUGAUGAACCAACCGACCUGAGAAUAUCAAGGCAAGUGUGAAGAUCUGGAGAAAAGAGAUAGGAGCCAUUUUGGUUGGUUUUGCCUUUAUGGUGGGUGUUCUGACCUUUAUUUUGAGUGUGAAAUGAAUGAGAGUCUCAUGUCUACUUAUGUGAGUAGUUUGUGUGGAUAAGAUCAUAA